Molecule: long non-coding RNA, 1028 nt
Filed under: Trifolium pratense (red clover)
Lineage: Eukaryota; Viridiplantae; Streptophyta; Magnoliopsida; Fabales; Fabaceae
Description: long non-coding RNA (TPRA_LNC007772)
Source: RNAcentral
AUAUCUUUUCGACCCUUUAAUUGUCUGUUGUUCAGACCAGAAAAACGUUGUUCUCUUUUGGGCAUGUGUUAGAUCAAGGCCCCGUUUGGAUUAGCUUAUUUUUGAGCUUAUGCAAACAGCUUAUGCAAUUUUUAUGUAUUAUUAUAAGUUUGUCGAGGUAGUUUUUGAUAAAAUAGCUUAUAAAAAUACAAUUUUCACUAGUGUGAACUUAUAAAAUAGCAUAAAACCUAAUUUAUAUUGCAUAAGUUGUUUGCAUAAGCUCAAAAAUAAGCUAAUCCAAACGGGUAGUAAAUCCUGCUAUCAUUUUGACCAUAAAGUACCUCAUUGUGCAUCAAACAUUGUUGAUAGGUUAUACCACAGAUCAGAGAGGGAAAUGGAUUAUGUCACCUCUCCUACAUGAGGACAACUUCACGUAGCGAAUCGUCAAUUAUAUGUGCAUAUCUGAUGUGACAUUAAGUCUUACAUCAGGUAUCUACUGAGCUGAAUAUGCUCUAUAGGAAAAUUAUUUUAGUUUCUUGCAUUACUUUGUUUGGUCAUUUUGAAUUAGGCAUAGAGAUUGAAGCACGGCACAGUAAAGAUUACAUUUUGUAGGUUUUUCGUGCAUAUAACAUAAUGAUAUUAUCUGUUCAAUAACCUUGUUGUAGUGGAUAGGUAGCUACAAGUACCACUGUUUGUGGCAGGCUUAUAAACAUUAAACACUACCCACAAGUGUUGUUAAAUAGAGGAUGUAGCAUGUUGUAGCACUAUAGCGUACUAUAAUUUUUAGCAUAGUUUCACCAUCUUCAAAACUAAGCAAACGUGUUUCCCAACAUCUUCAUAAUUCAUAAAACCUUGUUUUGAGACUUCAAAACAUGGUUUAGGCGCUGCCUAUGUUGUUAAUAUCAGAUAGCGGCGCAUCACGUGAAACCCCAAAAAUGAUAUAGUGAAUAGCGGGAUGGCCGCUAUUGUGAAGACUAAAAAACAAUGUACGAAGUAAACAUAAAUUCCAACAAGAUACAUAAAUACUGAAAAUACAAAAAAAAAAAAAA